This 3087-nucleotide long non-coding RNA is filed under the name Xyrichtys novacula (pearly razorfish). Lineage: Eukaryota; Metazoa; Chordata; Actinopteri; Labriformes; Labridae. The record is from RNAcentral.
UUUCACCGCGGGAGAGCCGUUACCGGAGCAGCAGAUAACCAGCUCCGCUUCCGCUGCUAUUAAUAACGCUGAUGACAUUCACUGCUGGAGAUAGACGGAACCGUCCUCUGCACUCUGAUAUGCACCGCCGUAUAGAUGGUAAACACGGAACAUAGACGGUACCGCGAAGAUAACUGAACACGAAUUGUUCUGUAGAGGCUUCAGAAAAUGAACGGUACCGUAGAGACAACCGAACUAAAACAGAGACAUCAGAAUCUGGACGCACCAUAUAGACACCGUUACAAAGACGGUGCCUUUAAGUCAUUCCAGCAUACACGUUAGCCGUUAGCUGUUAGUCAAAGUGAAACACACACAGGUAACUUUACGUUAGACUGGCUGGGCCAUCCAGGCUAACUUUACGUUACCGGAAAUGAGCAGAGAUGUAACACACCCGCUUGUCCGUCAGGUGUGACACAGUUAGUCAGGUUAGCAUGUUUGUGUUGAGGUAAAUAAAAGUGAAAUUGUUGUGUUCAUGUGUACAUUAUACAGGUAGAUAGAUUCAGGUGUUCUAGUGUUCAUCCUCCACCUGGGGCCUGUUUGCCUCUUUUCUCGCUCAGUGUCUCAGGUAUGAUAUUAACAGUUGACAAUAUUUUUCAUUUUCCCAUCUUUACAGCUUAACACCUGCACACCUGAAUUAAAUGAAACAGUUUAAACUAACUAUUAAUGUUUUUAUUGGUGUAGGCCUGAUAUACAUUAGUGAUGGGAAGAACUGUCCUUUUGACUGUACUGAAUCUUUAGAAUCCGUUCAUUAAAACAAUUUGUUCAAAUGAUUCGUUCACAGAAUCAGUCAGCGCUUCGGAGCCCCGUCCUGCCGGUGCAGUAAACCACUAGGUGACACAGCGGCGAGUUUGUUCAUUGAACAAGCCCCUCCCCUGCUGCUGAAGUCACAGCGUCGUUCACUGGGUGACACAUGUCGUUCAUUUGCCAAGUCCUGAAGGAAGUAUCACUCCCCUGUAGUGCUGGGCGAUAUGGAAAAAAAUGUAUAUCACGAUAUGGAUCAUUUUAUAUCACGAUAACGAUAUAUAUCACGAUAUAGCUAUGGUAUGCUUUCAGUUCUAUGAAAAAUUAAAGUGUAUACAGCUGCCCUAGUACAGUGCCAGUACAAGACCAGCACUUAAAACUAGAAAAAUGAAUAAAUAAAUAUGUGGCUGAAGUGCGUUCAUGUCUGUGCUCACCCAAAGUUAUGCAACACUCACAGAAAACGCCAAUAGUGUGAGCCAAAGCACUCCAUAAUAAUAAUAAUAAUAAUAAUAAUAAUAAUAAUAAUAAUAAUAAUAAUAAUAAUAAUAAAUUUAAUUUGUAAUGCGCUUUACAUUUACAAAAAAUCUCAAAGUGCUACAGUACCCAGUAAAAAAAGAGCAGCGACAACAAAAAAAGCAAUAGAAUGACAGUCACAGAUUAGCAUAAAAAAGAAUUUAAAAAAUUAAUAAUAUUUAGAGUUGCAAUGUAAGAGGCAAGGUAGUAAGAAAACUAACCAAAGGCUUUAUUAAAAAGGUAGGUCUUUAGGGCUCUUUUGAAGAGGUUGUUCACACUGCUAGAUGUUUCUCCUCCAAAGCUGCUCUCUGCCUCCAUCAUUGUUUACUUUACUCUUGAAGCACGUAGGAAGACCCGAGCAUGAAUCCGAGCGCUUUAUUCGCCUAUCAGGGGCAGACAGGUAAGGUUAGUGCUGGGCGAUAUGGAAAAAAAUGUAUAUCACGAUAUGGAUCAUUUUAUAUCACGAUAACGAUAUAUAUCACGAUAUAGCUAUGGUAUGCUUUCAGUUCUAUGAAAAAUUUAAGUGUAUACAGCUGCACUAGUACAGUACCAGUACAAGACCAGCACUUAAAACUAGAAAAAUGAAUAAACAAAUACGUGGCUGAAGUGCGUUCAUGUCUGUGCUCACCCAAAGUUAUGUAACACUUACAGAAAACGCUGAUGGUGUGAGCCGAAGCACUCCAUAAUAAUAAUAAUAAUAAUAAUAAUAAUAAAUUUAAUUUGUAAUGCACUUUACAUUUACAAAAAAAUCUCAAAGUGCUACAGUACACAGUAAAAAAAGAGCAGCAACAAUAAAAAAAAAGCAAUAGAAUGACAGUCACAGAUUAGCAUAAAAAAGAAUUUAAAAAAAAUAAAAUAUAUAGAGUUGCAAUGUAAGAGGCAAGGUAGUAAAAGCAUAAAGCAUAGAGGAAAACUAACCAAAGGCUUUAUUAAAAAGGUAGGUCUUUAGGGCUCUUUUGAAGAGGUUGUUCACACUGCUAGAUGUUUCUCCUCCAAAGCUGCUCUCUGCCUCCAUCAUUGUUUACUUUACUCUUGAAGCACGUAGCAAGACCCGAGCAUGAAUCCGAGCGCUUUAUUCGCCUAUCAGGGGCAGACAGGUAAGGUGAUUUGAUUCGCCACGACUCCAGAAAUGAUUGAAAAACUACAGAAUGUCACAAAAUUACGUUUCCUCGCUGCUGGCUUGAAGGGUACAAAUGCGCAGCCGCGCUCCCAGCUGACAGGAAGUCAAACCGCUGUUGUAGUUCUUUUGUGUUGCUAGCGCGGUCAAGAGUGUUUACUCUCACUGAGAGAUGACUACAAAAAUGGACGCACCUGUUCAUCUGGUUGUUAAACACGGCUGAAAAAGAUCAUCUUUUCAUGUUGUUCCCGCUCCUGCCCACUCCCGUUGCUUUUUUUCCCGUCCCGUCCCGAUCAAGAGAUUAAUAAAACAAUGACUCCCAUCCCGCGGGAAUCACGUGACCCACGGGAAUUCCCGAAAAAAGUCAUCCUCCACAGGGAAGGUCCCGGAGCAGAUGAAACAGGUGCCGGAGCGGCUGAAAUAGGUCCCAGAUCCGAUCAAAAGAGGUCCCGGAUCGCGCUCCGACUUGCUCCGGCACAAAUUAAGCACUGCUUACAAUGAUCCCCUCACGUGUGUAACCCAGGUAACCCGCAACGGCGGGAGGCGCUGGACAUAAAGAGGGCACGUAAAGCGGCGUCAUGUCGCAAAAUCGAAAGAGAAAUGCAAGCCUACAUGUCAACGCAUCCUUUUCUUUGUAAGAAAAUAUUGUUUUCUUUCCCGUUCGACACCAAAUACAC